ACCUGGCUGGCUCAGUCAGUGGGAGCAUGAGACUCUUAAUCUCGGGGUCAUGAGUUCAAGCCCUAUAUUUGGUG
RNAcentral lists this transfer RNA (74 nucleotides) under Ailuropoda melanoleuca (giant panda). It matches the Rfam family "tRNA". From Rfam's summary of the family: Transfer RNA (tRNA) molecules are approximately 80 nucleotides in length. Lineage: Eukaryota; Metazoa; Chordata; Mammalia; Carnivora; Ursidae. The record is from Rfam by way of RNAcentral.